GGGUUGUGAGGUUAAGCGACUAAGCGUACACGGUGGAUGCCCUGGCAGUCAGAGGCGAUGAAGGACGUGCUAAUCUGCGAUAAGCGCCGGUAAGGUGAUAUGAACCGUUAUAACCGGCGAUUUCCGAAUGGGGAAACCCAGUGUGACUCGUCACACUAUCAUUAACUGAAUCCAUAGGUUAAUGAAGCGAACCGGGGGAACUGAAACAUCUAAGUACCCCGAGGAAAAGAAAUCAACCGAGAUUCCCCCAGUAGCGGCGAGCGAACGGGGAGGAGCCCAGAGCCUGAAUCAGCAUGUGUGUUAGUGGAAGCGUCUGGAAAGGCGCGCGAUACAGGGUGACAGCCCCGUACACAAAAGCGCAUGUGCUGUGAGCUCGA
Molecule: ribosomal RNA, 377 nt
Filed under: Salmonella enterica
Lineage: Bacteria; Pseudomonadati; Pseudomonadota; Gammaproteobacteria; Enterobacterales; Enterobacteriaceae
Description: partial 23S ribosomal RNA
Rfam family: Bacterial large subunit ribosomal RNA
Source: RNAcentral